This 2094-nucleotide unclassified non-coding RNA is filed under the name Leishmania donovani. RNAcentral describes it as "gene:LdHU3.10.1590(CDS-product:Zinc_finger_C3HC4_ type_(RING_finger)_containing_protein_putative)". The record is from RNAcentral. Lineage: Eukaryota; Euglenozoa; Kinetoplastea; Trypanosomatida; Trypanosomatidae.
AGUCGGCGAUUUCUUUUCGUUCUUCUCCCUCUACUGUCAUCGUGCUCUGCGCGUCUGCCGCUGCUGCUGCGGCGUGCCUGCGCACACCCGCACAGGUUCGCACCUUCACCUCUUCAUGUACAGUCGUUAGCCGUAUCGCUUCACGCACGCGCACUCUCCACCCAGGCUCGGCUCCAUCUCAAGUGCGCCGCGCCGCGCGUCCCCUCCCCUCGCUCUCUCCGUUAGGCACACCGCACAUGCACUUCUCUACGUUGUGCUUCAUAUACAUCUAUGUAUACAUCUCGGUGUCUUUCGCUCUCUCCUUCUUCCUUCGCUUCGGUUCUUGUGUGCUUUAGUGUGCCUCGCGGAUUCCGCACUCCCUCGCUCGUGGCCUCCUCCUCACCUGCCCCUCGCCCCCAAGUACGGGCGCACACGGGCAUUCCAGAGACGUCCGGGGUCACAGCGGCGGUGCGUUGUUGUCACUAAUGGGGAAUCGCACAAGUCACGAGCAGCCGACGGCAACCGGCGUCACCGACAUCGAGCUGCGCCUCGCCCCACACAACUUCUACCUCGUCUUCGGCAAGCCGUCCAUCCAGUUUGCGCGUGACCGUGUGCGAGGGCCACUCAUAUAUGACGUGGAAGUGGAGUAUGACGACGAUGAGAACCUUGUUGAGCGCGCAACGAUGCUGGACCUCACGUGUGCGGUGCCACGUCGGCAGAAAAUUGAGCUGAUUAGCGCACCAUUGGCGUCACCACAAGCUGUUGGUGCCUCCAAGGGGCUUGCGCUCACGUUCCAGAUCGCGGCGACGCAGCCGCCGGAGCGGGUGCGCGUGUACGCUGGUGCGUCGGUGGAGUACCGCGCCCGCGAUGGUGUACGGCUGAAGACCAGCGGUGGUGUGGCGGCGGGGUCGGUUUGCAUCCUGGAUACCACCGAGACGGACGGUCUCACAACAGUCGUCACCAACCCCCUAGUACUGCCGCAGCUGCUCCAGCCUCUCAAGUACGAGGAAACUGCCAGCACGCUCGCAACCUCAACGGUGCAGCGAGUAUCCUACGCCCCGCUCGCCAUCGAGGUGCUUGUUGGGGCGACGGAGGACCCAAUCAAUAAGACGCAACAAUGUGCCCCUGCAGACAAAGCCGCGCACGAGGCGACGCCGCCACGGUCACAGCCGCUGCAGCCCAGCAAGAGAGAGAUUGUGCAGUACACCUUUCUGGAGGCACCGGAGGAGGCCUCCCCACAGCCAGCGUCUUCGCUCGGUGGCAGCGAAGCUCGAGCGGCCCAUCGCUUCACCUGCAAGGUGGCGAAGCAGCUGCUCCAGGUAGGGAACGAGGUUUACGAUUUAGAGGACGUCUUCGACGACGGCCGCGAGGACGCCGUGCGCGACCCCGGCGAGGAUGAGGAGAGUGAAGAGGGGCUCUGCGUGAUUUGCCUGACGAACCAGAAGGACACCACCAUCCUGCCCUGCCGUCACAUGUGUCUAUGCAACGAGUGUGCUGCACACCUGCGCCUCAGCGACAACCGAUGCCCUCUGUGCCGCGGCUAUAUCGAUCGCGUCAUGACGCUUUAGCGCGAGCGCGGCCUUUAGAUCGUAGGCUCAGCCUCCUCCUCCUCCUUCCCCUCUCUUUUUUCUCCCUUGCACCGUCUGCUCCACCUCCCUCUCUCUCUCUUGAUGUUCACGCCGCCAACGCGCAUAGUGCCGGCGCCUUGCACAUGCGGGCAUGUACAGUUUGGUUUCCGUUUCUCUGUUGUUCUCCUUUCACAUCGCCUCGUGAUAUGCGCGCACGCGUCUUCUGCGGAUGCGUGUGCGGCAUCGAUGUCUCUGGGGCGUCUGUGGCUGCUUUGGGGGCAGCCACGUCGCCGGUGCUUAUACUUUGUUUUUGUGCAUUUCUUCGCCAUGAUGUCGCUUUUUAGCCUCGGCUACUUUACCGCCUGUGCCGCUUCCCUCGUUUCCAUGUCCACGCAGUUGUGGGGAGCGCCGUUUUUCUUUUCGCCAUGUUGUAACAUCGACCUCGAUGGACUCCUCGCCCUUUGCCCUUAUACAUGUGUGUAAUGUAUGUAUGCACCGUCUGCCUCAUGCUCCCGCACGGGAAGAGGGACGCAUAGCGUCUGGCUCG